Molecule: ribosomal RNA, 253 nt
Filed under: uncultured bacterium
Lineage: Bacteria
Description: partial 16S ribosomal RNA
Rfam family: Bacterial small subunit ribosomal RNA
Source: RNAcentral
UACGAACUGUGCGAACGUUAUUCGGAAUUAUUGGGCGUAAAGGGUGCGUAGGCGGCUUGCUAAGUCGAACGUGAAAUCCCCAGGCUCAACCUGGGAACUGCGUCCGAUACUGGCAGGCUUGAAUCCGGGAGAGGGAUGUGGAAUUCCAGGUGUAGCGGUGAAAUGCGUAGAUAUCUGGAGGAACACCGGUGGCGAAGGCGGCAUCCUGGACCGGUAUUGACGCUGAGGCGCGAAAGCUAGGGGAGCAAACGGG